GAGCCUGACGAGCGAUGCCGCGUGAGGGAAGAAGGCUUCGGAUUGUAAACCUCUGUCAUCAGGGACGAAGAUGACGGUACCUGAAGGGGAAGCCCCGGCUAACUACCUGGCAGCAACCCCGGGAAUUAUACG
RNAcentral lists this ribosomal RNA (132 nucleotides) under uncultured bacterium. Its description in RNAcentral is "partial 16S ribosomal RNA". It matches the Rfam family "Bacterial small subunit ribosomal RNA", at positions 379 to 527 of the family's 1533-position model. The record is from RNAcentral.